UCGUCAGCUCGUGUCGUGAGAUGUUCGGGUUAAGUCCCGCAACGAGCGCAACCCUCGACCUUAGUUGCCAGCAUUCAGUUGGGCACUCUAAGGUGACUGCCGGCUAAAAGUCGGAGGAAGGUGGGGAUGACGUCAAAUCAUCAUGCCCCUUAUGACCUGGGCUACACACGUGCUACAAUGGGCGGUACAAAGGGUCGCGAACCCGCGAGGGGGAGCCAAUCCCAAAAAGCCGCUCUCAGUUCGGAUUGCAGGCUGCAACUCGCCUGCAUGAAGCCGGAAUCGCUAGUAAUCGCGGAUCCAGCAUGCCGCGGUGAAUACGUUCCCGGGCCUU
RNAcentral lists this ribosomal RNA (331 nucleotides) under uncultured Anoxybacillus sp. Its description in RNAcentral is "bacterial SSU rRNA". It matches the Rfam family "Bacterial small subunit ribosomal RNA", at positions 1052 to 1382 of the family's 1533-position model. The record is from RNAcentral. Lineage: Bacteria; Bacillati; Bacillota; Bacilli; Caryophanales; Anoxybacillaceae.